Molecule: non-coding RNA, 758 nt
Filed under: Drosophila virilis
Lineage: Eukaryota; Metazoa; Arthropoda; Insecta; Diptera; Drosophilidae
Description: Eukaryotic large subunit ribosomal RNA
Rfam family: Eukaryotic large subunit ribosomal RNA
Source: Rfam by way of RNAcentral
CAACCUCAACUCAUAUGGGACUACCCCCUGAAUUUAAGCAUAUUAAUUAGGGGAGGAAAAGAAACUAACAAGGAUUUUCUUAGUAGCGGCGAGCGAAAAGAAAUCAGUUCAGCACUAAGUCACUUUGUCUAUAUGGCAAAUGUGAGAUGCAGUGUACGGAACAUCAACAUUCUAGUAUGAGAAGUUAACGAUUUAAGUCCUUCUUAAAUGAGGCCAUUUACCCAUAGAGGGUGCCAGGCCCGUAUAACGUUAAUGAUUACUAGAUGGUGUUUCCAAAGAGUCGUGUUGCUUGAUAGUGCAGCACUAAGUGGGUGGUAAACUCCAUCUAAAACUAAAUAUAACCAUGAGACCGAUAGUAAACAAGUACCGUGAGGGAAAGUUGAAAAGAACUCUGAAUAGAGAGUUAAAUAGUACGUGAAACUGCUUAGAGGUUAAGCCCGAUGAACCUGAAUAUCCGUUAUGGAAAAUUCAUCAUUAGAAUUGUAAUAUUUUAAACAAUAUUAUAAUAAUAGUGUGCAUUUUUUCCAUAUAAGGACAUUGUAAUCUAUUAGCAUAAAUAUUUAUCAUAAAAUUAUGUCUGAUUGCUUAUUUGAAUUAUAUGCUUGGCAUUUUAACAUAAAAUAAAAGAUAUAAAUUUGAUAAAGUGCUGAUAGAUUUAUAUGAUUACAGUGCGUUAAUUUUUCGGAAUUAUAUAAUGGCAUAAUUAUCAUUGAUAUUUGUGUUUAUUAUAUGCAUUUGUAUGAUUAACAAUGCGAAAG